This 29-nucleotide non-coding RNA is filed under the name Mus musculus (house mouse). Lineage: Eukaryota; Metazoa; Chordata; Mammalia; Rodentia; Muridae. The record is from RNAcentral.
UGUCAAAUCCACAGCACCUCCAUUUCUGC